Alexandromys fortis (reed vole) is the source of this 504-nucleotide long non-coding RNA. RefSeq lists it as uncharacterized. NCBI's taxonomy places the organism in Eukaryota, Metazoa, Chordata, Mammalia, Rodentia, Cricetidae. The record is from RefSeq and is a predicted model, not a curated record. The transcript has 3 exons.
UCAAAACUUGGAGCUUUCAGACAGUUGUUGGAGAUUUUAUUUUAUGGAACAUAUGUACUUGUUUUUGAAACAAAUGGAGUCCUUGUCUGAAAGGUCCUGUGGGUACAGGCCUGCUGCCCAGCGCAGAGUAACCAGCUGAGUGGUUAAGAUGAGGAGGGCUGGCUCCGGGUUAGUCCGUCUCUCCGCCACGUCCUGCUGCCUAUUGAAGAUUUUACUCUCUCGUGGUCUUCAAACUUCCACUCAGUUGAUUCGCCUGCCAAGCACAGUGACCAGUGCGGCCGCUCCUGAUGGUGGGAGCAUAUGGUACCGCUGGGAAUAGUUUCGCUCUGAGUGCUGUGAAAUCCCACGCCUUCCUACAGAAUGUGUUUGGAGGAGCAAAUGUCACGGGACACACUGUGAGACAGCCAUGUGUCAUUGCUACACAUAACUCUGACCCGGGAACUGCAUCGUCUUCUUAGACACAAAGACCAACAACAUACUGACCUCAAGAAGCCCACAGGUCAA